GGAAACGAUGCUAAUACCGCAUACGCCCUACGGGGGAAAGCGGAGGACCUUUCGGGGCUUCGCGCUAAUGGAUGAGCCUAAGUCGGAUUAGCUUGUUGGUGAGGUAAAAGCUCACCAAGGCGACGAUCCGUAGCUGGUCUGAGAGGACGAUCAGCCACACUGGGACUGAGACACGGCCCAG
This 181-nucleotide ribosomal RNA is filed under the name uncultured bacterium. RNAcentral describes it as "partial 16S ribosomal RNA". It matches the Rfam family "Bacterial small subunit ribosomal RNA", at positions 153 to 334 of the family's 1533-position model. The record is from RNAcentral.